This 468-nucleotide ribosomal RNA is filed under the name uncultured bacterium. RNAcentral's name for it is "partial 16S ribosomal RNA". It matches the Rfam family "Bacterial small subunit ribosomal RNA", at positions 28 to 507 of the family's 1533-position model. The record is from RNAcentral.
GACGAACGCUGGCGGCGUGCUUAACACAUGCAAGUCGAACGGAAAGGCCCUGCUUUUGUGGGGUUCUCGAGUGGCGAACGGGUGAGUAACACGUGAGUAACCUGCCCUUGACUUUGGUAUAACUUCAGGAAACUGGGGCUAAUACCGGAUAGGAGCUCCUGUUGCAUGGUGGGGGUUGGAAAGUUUCGGCGGUUGGGGAUGGACUCGCGGCUUAUCAGCUUGUUGGUGGGGUAGUGGCUUACCAAGGCUUUGACGGGUAGCCGGCCUGAGAGGGUGACCGGCCACAUUGGGACUGAGAUACGGCCCAGAGUCCUAAGGGAGGCAGCAGUGGGGAAUAUUGCACAAUGGGCGGAAGCCUGAUGCAGCAACGCCGCGGGCGGGAUGACGGCCUUCGGGUUGUAAACCGCUUUCGCCUGUGACGAAGCGUGAGUGACGGUAAUGGGUAAAGAAGCACCGGCUAACUACGUG